UUGAUAGUCACCGGCGUAAAGAGUGGUUAAGACUACACUUAGCACUAAAGCCGAACGCCCUCAGAGCUGUUAUACGCAUCCGAAGGUAAGAAGCCCAACCACGAAAGUGGCUUUAUAACAUCUGAAUCCACGAAAGCUAUGACACAAACUGGGAUUAGAUACCCCACUAUGCCUAGCCGUAAACAUUGAUAGUAACCUACACCCACUAUCCGCCCGGGAACUACGAGCAUCAGCUUAAAACCCAAAGGACUUGGCGGUGCUUUAGAUCCACCUAGAGGAGCCUGUUCUAGAACCGAUUACCCCCGUUCAACCUCACCUUUCCUUGUCCCUCCCGCCUAUAUACCACCGUCGUCAGCUUACCCUGUGAAGGACUCAUAGUAAGCAAGAUUGGCAUAGCCCAAAACGUCAGGUCGAGGUGUAGCGUAUGGAAAGGGAAGAAAUGGGCUACAUUCCCUAACGCAGGGAACUACGAAUGAUACGCUGAAAUACGUAUCUGAAGGAGGAUUUAGCAGUAAGCAGAAAAAAGAGCGUUCCGCUGAAACCGGCCCUGAAGCGCGCACACACCGCCCGUCACUCUCCCCGAGCUCAUCAACCUUAAAUACCUAAGACCUAAAUACUGCAAAGG
RNAcentral lists this ribosomal RNA (625 nucleotides) under Caesio xanthonota (yellowback fusilier). RNAcentral's name for it is "partial small subunit ribosomal RNA". It matches the Rfam family "Bacterial small subunit ribosomal RNA", at positions 545 to 1450 of the family's 1533-position model. The record is from RNAcentral. Lineage: Eukaryota; Metazoa; Chordata; Actinopteri; Lutjaniformes; Lutjanidae.